Molecule: ribosomal RNA, 433 nt
Filed under: uncultured bacterium
Lineage: Bacteria
Description: partial 16S ribosomal RNA
Rfam family: Bacterial small subunit ribosomal RNA
Source: RNAcentral
AACGAACGCUGGCGGCAUGCCUAACACAUGCAAGUCGAACGAGACCUUCGGGUCUAGUGGCGCACGGGUGCGUAACGCGUGGGAACCUGCCCUUAGGUUCGGAAUAACUCCCCGAAAGGGGUGCUAAUACCGGAUAAUGUCUUCGGACCAAAGAUUUAUCGCCUUUGGAUGGGCCCGCGUUGGAUUAGCUAGUUGGUAGGGUAAAAGCCUACCAAGGCGACGAUCCAUAGCUGGUCUGAGAGGAUGAUCAGCCACACUGGGACUGAGACACGGCCCAGACUCCUACGGGAGGCAGCAGUGGGGAAUAUUGGACAAUGGGCGAAAGACUGAUCCAGCAAUGCCGCGUGAGUGAUGAAGGCCUUAGGGUUGUAAAGCUCUUUUAACCGGGAUGAUAAUGACAGUACCGGGAGAAUAAGCUCCGGCUAACUCCGUG